This 1019-nucleotide long non-coding RNA is filed under the name Zonotrichia albicollis (white-throated sparrow). RNAcentral's name for it is "lncRNA (ENSZALG00000009165.1)". Lineage: Eukaryota; Metazoa; Chordata; Aves; Passeriformes; Passerellidae. The record is from RNAcentral.
CCGUCUUCCUCUCGAUCCCGUUCCCGUCCUGUCCCGUGUCCCAUUCCCACUCCAGUCCUGUCUCUCUCUCCCAUCCCGUUCCCGUUCCGUCUCCCAUCCCAUUCCCGUCCUGUGUCCUGUUCCCGUUCCUAUCCCGUCUCCCUUUCCCAUUCCCGUCCUAUCCCGUGUCCCAUUCCCGUUCCAGUCCCGCCUCCUCUCCCAUCCCAUUCCCGUUCCGUGUCCCGUUCCCGCUUCCCUCUCUCAUCCCAUUCCCGUCCUGUCCCGUUCCCAUUCCAGUCCCGUGUCCCUCUCCCAUCCCGUUUCUCAUCCCUGUCCCAUUCCCGUUCCCAUCCCGUCUCCCUCUCCCAUCCCAUUCCCAUUCCCGUCCUGUCCCGUGUCCCAUUCCCGCUCCAGUCCCGCCUCCUCUCCCAUACCAUUCCCAUCCCAUUCCCUUUCCGUGUCCCGUUCCCCCUCCCAUCCCAUUCCCGUCCUGUCCAGUGUCCCAUUCCCGUUCCCAUCCCGUCUCCCUCUCCCAUCCCAUUCCCGUCCUGUCCCAUGUCCGAUUCCCACUCCAGUCCCGUCCCGUGUCCCGUUCCCAUCCCAUCUCCUCCUCCCAUCCCAUUCCCGUUCCGUGUCCCGUUCCCGUUCCCGUCCCGUCUCCCUUCUCCCAUCCCGUGUCUCAUUCCUGUCCCCGUCCCGUGUCCCAUUCCCGUUCCUAUCCUGUCUCUCUCUGCCAUCCCGUUCCCGUUUCCCGUUCCCAUCCCGUUCCCUUUCCCAUCCCAUGCCCGUUCCCAUCCCAUUCCGGUCCCGUCUCCCUUUCCCAUCCCAUUCCCAUUCCCGUCCCGUGUCCCAUUCCCGCUCCCGUCCCGUUCCCGUCCCGUCUCCCUCUCCCACCCCGUGUCUCAUUCCCGUUCCCAUCCCGUUCCCUGUCUCGUUCCCGUUUCCCGUUCCCAUCCCAUUCCCGUUCCCGUCCCGUCUCCCUUUCCCGCUCCAGUGCCGUCCCGUAUCUCAUCCCAUUCCCGUCCCGUGUCCCAUUCCCG